CUCCAGACUCCUACGGGAGGCAGCAGUGGGGGAUAUUGCACAAUGGGGGGAACCCUGAUGCAGCGACGCCGCGUGGGUGAAGGAGUGCUUCGGCAUGUAAAGCCCUAUCGGCAGGGAAGAAGCAAGACGGUACCUGACUAAGAAGCCCCGGCUAACUACGUGCCAGCAGCCGCGGUAAUACGUAGGGGGCAAGCGUUAUCCGGAUUUACUGGGUGUAAAGGGGGCGCAGACGGCAGCGCAAGCCAGGAGUGAAAGCCCGGGGCCCAACCCCGGGACUGCUCUUGGAACUGCGCGGCUGGAGUGCAGGAGGGGCAGGCGGAAUUCCUGGUGUAGCGGUGAAAUGCGUAGAUAUCAGGAGGAACACCGGUGGCGAAGGCGGCUUACUGGACAGUAACUGACGUUGAGGCUCGAAAGCGUGGGGAGCAAACAGGAUUAGAUACCCCAGUAGC
RNAcentral lists this ribosomal RNA (449 nucleotides) under uncultured bacterium. RNAcentral describes it as "bacterial SSU rRNA". It matches the Rfam family "Bacterial small subunit ribosomal RNA", at positions 329 to 794 of the family's 1533-position model. The record is from RNAcentral.